RNA transcript from Cucumis melo (muskmelon), 6162 nucleotides. It is a transcript of the gene named glutamate receptor 3.3, with no coding region annotated. The transcript is spliced from 7 exons. The record is from RefSeq and is a predicted model, not a curated record. Lineage: Eukaryota; Viridiplantae; Streptophyta; Magnoliopsida; Cucurbitales; Cucurbitaceae.
UAUUGCUUCAUCAAUCAAGGAAAUUUUUUUUUCUCUUUAUCCAAAUUUUCACGUGCUUUCAUCAACUGAUUUCUAAUUAUAUAUUUUUUAAUUUCUCUCUCACACGAUACCGGCAGCUGAUUUAGAAUCUAUCAUAUACUUUGUCUCCCAAUCAUUCCAAUAUCUUUCCUACUGGGAUUACCCCCAAUCAGGUUCUUCUUCGUAGAAUCUACUCUUCUGUGAAGUUUUGUAUUUGCAGUAGUAUUAGAUUUUGCUUCUCUACCACUAUUUGAUGGUCCUCAUUAUUUGAUUUUCUGCUAGUUUAUACUUUAUCACCGGAUUUUGCUUCUGCUUAUUCUAUUAGUUCUUUCUUAAUUUCGAGGACAUCUGUGUGUCCAUUACUUAAUCAAGCUGCUGCUGCUUCUGGGAAUUGGGGCAUUUGGUAUGGAGUGUUUUUGCUUCUGUAGAAUAAUACUUACCUUCAGGGAUCAGUUAAGUUUGAAACUGUUGCCGUGAACUUCAUAUUAUUGGGAGCUGUUUUUUGUUUUUUUUUGGUUGGAAAGAGUAAAGAAUCGGAUUCUAGGUCUGCUUACAUUCACAGCUUCGUUCUUUCUGAAUGUUUAAUAUUUAAGCUUUUCUUGCAUCUGAGUGUUAUAGCGGAAGAAACAGGAGGUUUUACUGUUUCUAUUGGUGGCAUCAUACUAUAUUUCAUUUUGGUUUUAGUUAUUCUUGAAAGCAAUGGCUAACUUCACUGGAAGUUUCUUUAUUUCAAUAGACUAGACGUAGAUAUAAUUCCCUGUUUUGGCGGCAUCCCAUAGACUUCUUAGGCAAGAAUUGAAAAUGAGUUUCCUUUGGUUUGUUUCAUCGUUAUCUCUCGUUUGUGGUACUUUUCCUCUUGGAUUUGGUAAGAACAUUUCGUCAAGACCAUCGGUUGUGAAUAUUGGUGCUAUUUUAUCUUAUAAUUCUACUAUUGGAAAAGUUGCCACUAUAGCCAUUGAAGAAGCUGUGAAAGAUGUGAAUGCGGAUCCCAGCAUUCUUCCCGGAACCAACCUUUGGUUACAAACGCAAAAUUCCAACUGUAGUGGGUUUCUGGGCAUGGUUGAAGUUUUGCAACUUAUGGAGAAUGAAACCGUUGCCAUCAUAGGCCCCCAGUCUUCUGUUGUUGCCCAUAUUUCAUCCCAAGUUGCAACUGAGUUCCAAGUCCCUCUGGUCUCCUUUUCAGCUACUGAUCCUACCCUCUCUGCCCUUCAGUUUCCUUUCUUUGUGAGGGCUGCACAGAGUGAUUUGUUUCAAAUGACUGCGAUUGCUGAGAUUGUUGAAUUCUAUAAGUGGAAAGAGGUCAUUGCUAUAUAUGUUGAUGAUGAUUAUGGGUGGAACGGAAUUGCAACACUGGGUGAUAAACUUGCCGAAAGGCGUUGUAAAAUCACAUAUAAGGUGGGUAUUAGUCCAGAUUCUGUGGAUAAUCGAGCCCAAGUUAUGGAUCAGCUUGUUAAAGUUGCUCUAAUGGAAUCAAGAGUUAUGAUUCUCCAUGUGAACCCCAAAUUAGGCACCUUAGUAUUUUCAGUUGCUAAGUACCUUCAAAUGAUGGGCAAUGGAUAUGUAUGGAUAGCGACUGAUUGGCUUACGUCUCUAUUAGACAGUGUUGUUCCUCUCCCUUUUGAAAAAAUGGAGUCGAUGCAAGGAGUUAUUUCUCUACGGCAGCACACAGCAGAAUCUGAUAAAAAGAGAGCUUUUCUUUCCAGGUGGAAUAAGUUAACAGGUGGCUCUUUAGGUCUCAAUACUUAUGGUCUGUAUGCUUAUGACUCUGUUUGGAUGGUUGCUCAUGCCAUCGACAAAUUUUUCAGUCAAGGUGGGGUCGUCACACACUCUAAUGACUCCAAGUUGCAUUUCAGUGAAAGUGGUGAUCUUCAUCUUGAAGCUAUGACAAUCUUUGAUGGUGGAAACCGCCUACUGAAUAACAUAUUGGAGAGUGAUUUUGUUGGUCUGACUGGUGCCAUUAAGUUCGAUUUGGACAGAUCUCUUAUUCAUCCUGCAUAUGAUAUUAUUAAUGUUAUUGGGACUGGAUCAAGGAGGGUGGGUUACUGGUCCAACUAUUCUGGUUUAUCAAUUGAUGCUCCAGAGAUUCUCUAUUCCAAACCACCCAAUCGUUCACACGCAAAUCAGAAGUUGUACGAGGUGAUAUGGCCAGGAAAUACAAUUGAAAAGCCUCGAGGAUGGGUAUUCCCAAACAAUGGGAAGCUAUUAAAAAUUGGUGUGCCACUUCGGGUCAGUUACAAGGAAUUUGUGUCAAAAAUCAAGGGGACAGAAAAUUUCCAAGGUUUCUGCAUUGAUGUGUUUACGGCUGCUGUAAACUUAUUGCCGUAUGCUGUUCCGCACGAAUUUAUAGCCUUCGGCGAUGGCCAUCACAAUCCAAAUUACACAGAUCUUGUGUAUGGGAUUACAACUGGCAAAUUUGAUGCUGUUGUUGGAGAUAUAGCCAUUGUCACAAGCCGUACAAGGCUUGUAGAUUUUACUCUGCCAUAUACUGCUUCUGGACUAGUUGUUGUGGCUCCAUUCAAAAAACGGAACACUGGGGCUUGGGCUUUCCUGCAUCCAUUUUCUCCCGCCAUGUGGAUGGUCACAGCUAGUUUCUUCUUUUUUAUUGGAAUAGUCGUCUGGAUUCUGGAGCAUAGGACUAAUGAUGAAUUCAGAGGCCCACCUAAAAGACAAUGUAUUACAAUUUUAUGGUUUAGCUUCUCAACUCUAUUUUUUGCCCAUAAGGAGAACACAAUUAGCACUCUUGGCCGCCUAGUGCUAAUCAUAUGGCUCUUUGUGGUUCUGAUAGUAAAUUCUAGCUACACUGCCAGUUUAACAUCCAUUCUCACAGUGCAGCAGCUAUAUUUUCCAAUCACUGGAAUUGAAACCUUGAGGGAAGGUGACGAACCAAUAGGUUUCCAAGUUGGAUCAUUUGCUGAACGCUAUCUGAGAGAGGAGCUGAACAUAUCUAAAUCUAGGCUUAUUCCUCUUGGAUCACCCGAAGAAUAUGCCAAGGCACUUGAACUUGGCCCUGACAAGGAGGGGGGUGUUGCUGCUAUAGUUGACGAACUUCUAUAUGUAGAAAGUUUCCUCUCGAGACAGUGUUCAUUCAGAGUUGUUGGUCAAGAGUUCACAAAAAGUGGCUGGGGUUUCGCAUUCCCACGAGAUUCUCCCUUGGCUGUAGACUUGUCGACGGCCAUUUUGCAGCUCUCAGAGAAUGGUGAUCUGCAACGGAUUCAUGACAAAUGGCUAGUGAAAAGUGCUUGCACCAUGGAAAAUGCAGAGCUAGAAUCAGAUCGACUUCAACUUAAGAGCUUCUGGGGUCUUUUUCUAAUAUGUGGGAUAGUUUGCUUCAUUGCCCUUGCCAUAUAUUGCUUUCAGAUAAUUCGUCAGUUAUACCAUACUGAACCGGAAGAACCCGAUCUAUCUAGCAAUAGUGGAUCACAUUCUAACCGCCUUCGACGAAUUAUAUCACUAUUGGAUGAGAAGAAAGAAUCUUCUAAAAGGGGAAGCAAACGAAGGAAAGUUGAGAAAUCAUCUGAAAAUGAUAAGAACAAUGAUCAUUUGGGGGUAGAUCCUUGAGAAGUUGGAAAACAGAAACUGAAGCAACCAACCAGGUUCACUAUGUGGUCUUCUUAUCAAUAAUUUUAAGGCUUUACAGAGAUAAAUUGUUCUCUAAUUCAGUUUGAGAGCUGUAACUGUAUAAUUGAGCCAUCUCUUUCAUAGGUUUAGAACUGUAUUAUGUGCACUUUUGGGAAGUCAUUGCCUUCUGAUAAAGGAUGUUGGAGGAAAUGAACAUGUACAGGGAAGUUCAAAUUGAUAACCCACAAAGAUCUAGAGCAACCACAGGAACAAAAGGCAGUAGCUGUGUCAUGGCUUACAGUAUUCGCAUAUUGGAACUAGAAUUAGACCAUUUUGUAUUCUAAUUUUAGAAAAUAAAUUAAAGGAAAUAUCUAAAUUUAAAAAACAAAAUGGACCACAAGAUGUGGACUAAUUUGCAAUGCAAAGAUGAGGAAGGAAAUAAAGGUGAUGCUGUUUUUCAUUCAUUCCUGUCCCAUUUCAAAGGUUAUUGCAGCUUUUAGAACACUGCCUUCAAAUUUUAUAAAUGGAUAGAUUCAAAUCUCUUCCUUGAAUUUGAAUUCGAAUUCAAAACAAACAUUGUACAGUAAUGCACAAGAACAGCCUAGACUUAAAGCAGCCAGCGAGACACAUGAUGCCUAAGCUUCAUAAACUUUGCACUCUUCGUCGGCUGGGUUAGUCUGGCAGAAGUCCUCCAGUGGAUCUCCACUUUUUCCCGACCCCGCUCCCGGCCAUUUGGUUGCCACCAAAUGAGCCAAGUCGACAACUCUUUGGCUGCAGACAAAAAAAGAGGCAAAUGAAAAUUAAUAUGCUUUGGUUUACAAUGUUAAGGGGAACAUCAUUUUUUCAUGGACGGAAGUCCUCACCUGUAUCCCCAUUCAUUGUCGUACCAGGCAACAACCUUGAGCAUAUCAUCUCCCAUUACCAUUGUUAAUGACGAGUCAAUAGUGGAGGAAACAUCGGUACACUUGAAGUCCACAGAAACAAGAGGGAUGUCACACACAGCUAAAACACCCUUCAACGGUCCAUCAGCUGCCUUUCUGAAAGCAGCAUUGACAUCGUCUGCGGAGAUGCCUUUCUUCUCAAUGUUCACAACGAGAUCAACAACUGAAACAUUUGGAGUAGGCACACGAAGUGCAAUACCAUUGAGUUUGCCCUUAAGCUGGGGCAACACAAGGGACACAGCCUUUGCUGCACCAGUGCUUGUAGGGACAAUGUUCAAAGCUGCAGCCCUGGCUCGUCUCAAGUCACGGUGCGAUGCAUCCAAAAGUCUCUGGAAUAUAAUCCCAAAAACAUGACGAGGUUAUAAGAUCUUUCUCACUUUCAAGAAUCGUUUAUCAAAUCAAUGUCAUAUUGCAUUCAUUCUAUGAUCAUUUGUAUAUUUUCUUUACCUGGUCUCCAGUGUAGGAGUGAGUUGUUGUCAUGGUUCCCUUCACAAUGCCUGAAUUUAAUCAUAUAUCAAAUGGUUAAAAUCAGGAAACAAAGCUGGUCGACCAAAAUGAAACCAACUGCUUACCGAAUUCCUCGUCGAUGAUCUUAACAAAUGGAGCGAGGCAAUUGGUGGUGCAAGAGGCAUUGCUGCAUAAAAAUUAAAACAAAAAUCUUGAAUUAUCAGAAGCCUGACCAACCAAACCAAUCAUAAAUGAUUACUUAGCAGCUUGAAUGAAAAAUGAAUUUAUUUCCAGUUAUGGAAAUUGUUACACUGACCUAAUGAUGUUAGCAACAUCAUGGUAGUAAUCUUUUUCAUUCACCCCAACAACAUAUGUUGGAAUAUCAGCACCUUUUGCAGGAGCAGUGAUGAUAACCUUCUUUGCACCUGCUUGGAUGUGUUUCCCUGCACCUGGGCCAUCCACAAACACUCCUGUACCCUGCAAAGGCCAUGGAUAUUAAUAACUUAUCCUUGGACACAACUAUUAAGCUUAUUAAUUAUUAAUGGAUGUGGAUGAUCUGAUAUUAAUCGAGAAAUUCUUAAAUCAACCUCAAUAACGAUGUCGAUGCCAAGCUCUCCCCAAGGAAGCUUAAGGGGAUCCCUGCUCGAGACAACCUUGAUUGGCUUUCCAUCAACAGAUAUUGUUUCAUUGUCUACAAUUUUCACUUCUGCUUUGAAAGUUCCCAGCAUGGAAUCAUACUUUAGCAAGUGGGAGGCCUGAAAAUUUUCAUUUAAAUCAUUCAUCCUUUAUGAAUGGCGAGACUACUAUGUUCUAAGUAGAUUAAUUCUAGAAAGUGUUAUAUGAUUAAAUGUAUUGAGAGAUAAAUAUUACUUACAUUCUUGACGCCACCACUGUCAUUGACGACAACAACGUCAAGAGGUGAAUCUUUCCUGCCAUGCCAGCACCGCAGGAAGUUUCUGCCGAUACGUCCAAAUCCAUUGAUUGCCACCUUAAGUUUAGCCACUGUUUCUCCUCUAACAGGAGUUGAUCCUACUACCUGUUAUGAAAGAAAAUGUUUCUAUUCCGUUAGUAAGAAGCAAAAUGAAUAUGGGUCGUUUAUUAUUACUCAAAACUAAGAUAGAUUAUUCAUAUACAUUUCAUCGAACUCUAUCAAUUUCCUCAAAUACAUUGAUCUCUUUGUCACCAAAUCGUGUACAAU